GCCGCGGUGACAGAGUGGAAAUGUGCUGGCCUCGAGAGCCAGUGGCCCCUUGGGCCACAGGGGUUCGAAUCCCCUCCGCGGCGCCA
RNAcentral lists this transfer RNA (86 nucleotides) under Candidatus Bathyarchaeota archaeon. RNAcentral describes it as "tRNA-Ser". It matches the Rfam family "tRNA". From Rfam's summary of the family: Transfer RNA (tRNA) molecules are approximately 80 nucleotides in length. Their secondary structure includes four short double-helical elements and three loops (D, anti-codon, and T loops). Further hydrogen bonds mediate the characteristic L-shaped molecular structure. tRNAs have two regions of fundamental functional importance: the anti-codon, which is responsible for specific mRNA codon recognition, and the 3' end, to which the tRNAs corresponding amino acid is attached (by aminoacyl-tRNA synthetases). tRNAs cope with the degeneracy of the genetic code in two manners: having more than one tRNA (with a specific anti-codon) for a particular amino acid; and 'wobble' base-pairing, i.e. permitting non-standard base-pairing at the 3rd anti-codon position. Lineage: Archaea; Thermoproteati; Candidatus Bathyarchaeota. The record is from RNAcentral. RNAcentral also lists the same sequence under 1 other name.